CCCCACCCAUCCUUGCUAGACGCAUCAGCAUGCAUACUGAAUUAAUUAACCUAUCGCACAUGUAUCUUUUUUUAAGAAUAUCACAUGUAUCUUAGACCAGUCUUAAUGUAGAUUUUAUGGGAUUCAUGCAUAUUAAAUAUAGAGUUUUUAUAUGUACACUACAAGAAAUUCUGCCUUUUAUGACAAAAUUCCUUAUGACGGGGCCUGAUUUUGUCAUAUAAUGUAUCAUAAUAUGACGCAAAAUUAUGUGUCGUCACAAAUUGAUUGGAGCCAGAUUUUUUUAUGACGACUUGGUUUCUUUUGUCACAUGUCACAAAUUGUAUGACGCCCGAAGCCGUUUGACGGUUAUGAAUUUAUGACAAUUCAUAAAGAUUUUAUAUGACAAGUAGGCCGUCACUAAAUGUUUUAUCAAAUAUGACGGCCCUAGAUGUCAUAAAAUGUCCUAGUAGAAGUGGGCAUUUGACCAUGUCUGUUGGGCCUAAAGCUAGGCCUCAGCCCAUGUGAAAAGAAGAGGAGCACGGGUGGAGUAACCAGGCCAGCCUAAAAGAGCAGGGCUGAGAGACUUUUUUCUUUUUCCUUUCUUUUUUCAUUUUAGUUUGUAAAUUUAUUUUUUGUCUAUUUAAAGCACAUGAUACAUAUUUUUCAUGGCAAGAUCAUACCAAAACUACACUAACACAAGUGGAAUCAUAGUUUUAGCACAUACCAUGAAUUAGUUAUGCAUUUUACAAUAUAUCAGGCAUUUAACAAAUUAAAUAGAGUUGUACAUGCAUGUAUAUAUAUAUAUAAAAGAACGAAAAUAGCAAAAAGCGAAGGACGCGAGUUUUGGUAUUCGUGACUGUUUCACUGGACCA
RNAcentral lists this long non-coding RNA (851 nucleotides) under Sorghum bicolor (sorghum). Its description in RNAcentral is "long non-coding RNA (SBIC_LNC014058)". The record is from RNAcentral. Lineage: Eukaryota; Viridiplantae; Streptophyta; Magnoliopsida; Poales; Poaceae.